AACGCUAGCUACAGGCUUAACACAUGCAAGUCGAGGGGCAGCAUUGGAGUAGCAAUACUUCAGAUGGCGACCGGCGCACGGGUGAGUAACACGUAUCCAACCUGCCGCUUACUCGGGGAUAGCCUUUCGAAAGAAAGAUUAAUACCCGAUGGUAUAAAGAGUUCGCAUGUUCUCUUUAUUAAAGAAUUUCGGUAAGCGAUGGGGAUGCGUUCCAUUAGAUUGUUGGCGGGGUAACGGCCCACCAAGUCUACGAUGGAUAGGGGUUCUGAGAGGAAGGUCCCCCACAUUGGAACUGAGACACGGUCCAAACUCCUACGGGAGGCAGCAGUGAGGAAUAUUGGUCAAUGGACGAGAGUCUGAACCAGCCAAGUAGCGUGAAGGAUGACUGCCCUAUGGGUUGUAAACUUCUUUUAUAAGGGAAUAAAGUGAGGGACGUGUCCCUUUUUGUAUGUACCUUAUGAAUAAGGAUCGGCUAACUCCGUGCCAGCAGCCGCGGUAAUACGGAGGAUCCAAGCGUUAUCCGGAUUUAUUGGGUUUAAAGGGAGCGUAGGUUGACCUAUAAGUCAGCUGUGAAAGUUUACGGCUCAACCGUGAAAUUGCAGUUGAUACUGUAUGUCUUGAGUGUACAAGAGGUGGGCGGAAUUCGUGGUGUAGCGGUGAAAUGCUUAGAUAUCACGAAGAACUCCGAUUG
RNAcentral lists this ribosomal RNA (691 nucleotides) under uncultured bacterium. RNAcentral describes it as "bacterial SSU rRNA". It matches the Rfam family "Bacterial small subunit ribosomal RNA", at positions 32 to 715 of the family's 1533-position model. The record is from RNAcentral.